This 369-nucleotide ribosomal RNA is filed under the name uncultured bacterium. RNAcentral's name for it is "bacterial SSU rRNA". It matches the Rfam family "Bacterial small subunit ribosomal RNA", at positions 527 to 896 of the family's 1533-position model. The record is from RNAcentral.
GUAGGGUGCAAGCGUUAAUCGGAAUUACUGGGCGUAAAGCGUGCGCACGCCGUUAUGCAAGACAGAGGUGAAAUCCCCGGGCUCAACCUGGGAACUGCCUUUGUGACUGCAUGGCUAGAGUACGGUGGAGGGGGAUGGAAUUCCGCGUGUAGCAGUGAAAUGCGUAGAUAUGCGGAGGAACACCGAUGGCGAAGGCAAUCCCCUGGACCUGUACUGACGCUCAUGCACGAAAGCGUGGGGAGCAAACAGGAUUAGAUACCCUGGUAGUCCACGCCCUAAACGAUGUCAACUGGUUGGUGGGAGGGUUUCUUCUCAGUAACGUAGCUAACGCGUGAAGUUGACCGCCUGGGGAGUACGGCCGCAAGGUUG